Non-coding RNA from Microcebus murinus (gray mouse lemur), 715 nucleotides. NCBI's taxonomy places the organism in Eukaryota, Metazoa, Chordata, Mammalia, Primates, Cheirogaleidae. The record is from RefSeq and is a predicted model, not a curated record.
CCAGGUGAAUAGAGCAGGUGGGAGCCUGGAGGAGCAAGGGAAGCUCCAGGGAGCUCAGGGGACCAGAGCAGAGCAGUCCCAGGUAAACAGAGCAGGUGGAAAGCAGGAGGAGCAGGGACAGCUCCCGGGAGCUCAGGGGACCAGGGCAGAGCAGUCCCAGGUGAAUAGAGCAGGUGGGAGGCUGGAGGAGCAGGGGGGAGCUCAGGGAUCCAGGGCAGAGCUAUCCCAGGUGAAUAGAGCAGGUGGGAGGUUGGAGGAGCAGGGGCAGCUCCCGGGAGCUCAGGGGACCAGGGCAGAGGAGUCCCAGCUCAACAGAGCAGGUGGGAGGCUGGAGGAACAGGGGGCAGCUCCAGGAGCUUAGGGGACCAGGGCAGAGCAGUCCCAGGUGAAUAGAGCAGGUGGGAGGCUGGAGGAGCAGGGACAGCUCCCGGGAGCUCAGGGGACCAGGACAGAGCAGUCCCAGGUGAAUACAGCAGCUGGGAGGCAGGAGGAGCAGGGGCAGCUCCGGGGAGCUCACGGGACCAGGGCAGAGCAAUCCCAGGUGAAUAGAGCAGGUGGGAGGCAGGAGGAGCAGGGGGAGCUCAGGGGAUUGGGCAAAGCAGUCCCCGGUGAAUAGAGCAGGUGGGAGGCAGGAGGAGCAGGGGCAGCUCCGGGGAGCUCAGGGGACCAGGGCAGAGCAGUCCCAGCUCAACAGAGCAGGUGGGAGGCUGGAGGA